UACGUAGGGGGCAAGCGUUGUCCGGAUUUAUUGGGCGUAAAGAGCGUGUAGGCGGCCACACAGGUCAGCUGUGAAAACUCGAGGCUCAACCUCGAGACGUCGGUUGAAACCGUAUGGCCAGAGUCCGGAAGAGGAGAGUGGAAUUCCCGGUGUAGUGGUGGAAUGCGUAGAUAUCGGGAGGAACACCAGUGGCGAAAGCGGCUCUCUGGGGGCGAUCUGACGCUGAGGCGCGAAAGCGUGGGGAGCAAACCGG
RNAcentral lists this ribosomal RNA (253 nucleotides) under uncultured bacterium. RNAcentral describes it as "partial 16S ribosomal RNA". It matches the Rfam family "Bacterial small subunit ribosomal RNA", at positions 524 to 776 of the family's 1533-position model. The record is from RNAcentral.